AUGAGUCAGUUGCUCCUGGUUAUACAAUCACCUGCUCUGCAACUAUGUGGAAUUUCUUUCCUUUUGUAUCCCCAAAAUAUGAUUGCUUCUAGUGACCAAGACACACAUAACAGUAGCUGUCCUCCAGUAUGCUUAACUGCUGGAUCAGUUUUUCCUGAAUCCUUCACUUCCUUCACAAUAUUUGACACUCCAAAUGGGUCAAUAUUGGUCAGCCACAUUGGUGCUUUCUAGAACUCACAUUUCGUGAAACACGCUGGAGAUUUAAACAAGGCAGAAAUGAUUACCCCCAAAAGUGAACAACCCCAUUUACACGGAAGGCUGCUCCUGAUGCUCACCUUCUGAGACUGCUUGUUUGCAAGGUGAUUGAUGCAUCAGUUGCAAUGCUCCAUGUGUGUAAAUGAAUAACCCUGAAGAAAGGCCUUAACUCUUGAUAGCCUGGCUGGAUCUCUGAGAACACAGGCACCUUGCCCCAUCUUGUAUUCACUCAUAUUGUGGGAAAAUGUUAGCAUUAUCUUCAGUCCUGAAGAGGUGCAUACCUGGCUGCAGGAGCCAAUAGAGCUAAUAGAUGCAUCUUGACAUGUGGACAGACUGGGAUGUGGCAGGUUUCAGUAUGUCUGGUUGAAAACACAAGAAUUUCUUAUUUGCUGAACUUCUGCAGCUGCUACUACACCUCACCUGCCAGCGUGACUGUUUUGGAGACUCUGGUUUUGAUUUUUCUCUGCAUCUCAGUAUAGUACGCAAGCCGGCAAUGCUGCAGCUCUUAAGAUCGCUUUACAGCACAAUGGCAUAUUUUAAAGAUGACAGCAUUAUGAACUGUUCCAAAGGAGCUAUUUGCCUUUUAAGAUGACUGCUCUAGAAAGAAUUCUGUGGCUUAACAGCACUAGGAAAAGGGCAAGGGAAAUACAGAUGCUGCAGUCUGGUUAAGGAAAUGACAAGCUCCUGUGCUGCAGUACUUAAGCAUAGUCUCCAGCCGACACCAUUUAUGAGCUGUUAUAUACAGCUGCAAUCACACACAGGCUCAGUGAGGCUUUCCAUAGGGCUCACAUUUGUUUUCACAUUCACUUUGUAAAUGAGUUUGUAAUGUGGUGCAAAUGGUAGCAAAUGGACAUUAAAUGAGUCUUGUAUGUGGACUGAUCCUUUGUAAAUAUAUAGGCUAUUAUAAAAGCAAAUAAUAAGAAGUCAAACCAAACAACAGCAGCCCCAACAACAGAAACCAGUGAAAACCAUGUUGUUUUACAUAUACAGCAUUUUGAAAUGUGGGUUUUCUGUUUAAACUGUCUUCACGCCAGCCUCAACUUCUCUCUCCAUACUAAGCCUACAACAUAUUUUAUAUUGCCAUGGAUACUUUGGACAGAAGACAGUGUGCACUAGCAAUCAAUUUUUCCAUAGGAAACUAUUCCAAGAACCUGUCCCACACUGCAGUGCUCAUGUAUAGUUUUUGCUCAAUAGUAUACAAUCUUUUUCAAAAGGGUAUGACUAGCCAGUACUUCAGCUGCCCGUUUGCAAGCUUGGAAUAGGCCCAAGGCUUUACCACUCUCCAGGAUAAUUACUGCUUACUGCAUUUUGCUAUCACUUACCACUGCUAGCUGUUUACACCCUCCUAAGCAGGAUGAGAUGGAUUGCAACACGAAACCGUUUUUAGGGUAUAAAGAAGAAACGUGAGUUGACAAUCAUUUUGAAACAUCUUUAGAGGACUAAAAUCUAAUCCAAUCACAACGACAGCCAAGCAGAACUCAGCAUAGAGGAAUUACACAGAGUUUAAGGUAUUACAGGUUCAGGAGGGGAAUAAUAAGCAGCAUUCCUUAUGAGGUAAGCAUCUCAUCUAAUAAAAAGCCUUAAGUUCUCA
Struthio camelus australis is the source of this 1846-nucleotide long non-coding RNA. The record is from Ensembl. Lineage: Eukaryota; Metazoa; Chordata; Aves; Struthioniformes; Struthionidae.